This 3430-nucleotide long non-coding RNA is filed under the name Heterocephalus glaber (naked mole-rat). RNAcentral's name for it is "lncRNA (ENSHGLG00100046891.1)". The record is from RNAcentral. Lineage: Eukaryota; Metazoa; Chordata; Mammalia; Rodentia; Bathyergidae.
CAGAGGGCAUCGCAGAGGAGAAACAGUCCAUGGCAGGCAGGGGGCAGCCAACCCAGCAAGCUACAAGCAACAAGCGAGGAGCACAGCUCUUUGUGUCCCUUAUAACUUAUCCAGGCUACCUGGCCUUAGGGUGAGUAGUACUCACACCUUUAGUCUUAGCAUCACACAGUGAAUCAAUCCCAGCAUCAAAUCCUUCAUCCCAGCGUUAUACACCCUGACCCAGCUACCUCCGAAAAGCUCCACCUAUGACCACAUGUGGCUCUGAGGCAACGUCUAAAUACAGCCAUAACAUUCUUUGAAUCAUUUUCUUUUAUUUUUCCCUUCCUGCUCCCUCCUCUUCCUUCUCUUUCUUCCCUCCCUCCUUCCCUUCCUGCCUUCCUUUUUCAGUAUGGAGGAUUGAACCCAGGGCCUCUGCACUGAACUACACCUCCACUCUUGUUCUUUUUAAAAUUCUUCAGUCCUUUAUUUAUUGAGACAGUUUUUUUCUAAAUUGCUACAUUGACUAGGGGCACACAGUCCCUGCUGAGGCCACACUACCUGUGACCUACAGACUCUCCCAAGUACCACCUCUCCAAGGUUCCCCCUGGGGAGCAAACCUCUAAUCCAGAGGCCUGUGGGGUCAUGUAGCAUCCAAACCAUAACAAGGCCCUAGAUUAAAAGCUGCUCUAGUUCCAGCAUUCUGGAGGCAGGAGGAUGGCAAGUGUGAGAGUUGAGGGUUCGAGAUGUAGCUUUGUGGUAGAACAUUUCCUGAGCAUGCACAGGUCCUGGUUUUGAUCCCCAGCACCACAAAGAGCGUGGGAGGGCAAGCCAGUGGGCAGUGGCAUGGUGGACCACACCUGUAAUCCCAGCAUUUGGGAGGCUGAGGCAGGAGGAUGCAAGGCAGGCUGGGCUGCAUGUUGAGUGACUGUCUCAGGAGAGGAAAAUAACAGGAAAAGAGACACUGAUGAAUAGAAACAGACCCAAAAAAACCCAGAUGGCAGAAGUGGUAGCCAAGGGCGUUAAAAUGUUACCUUGGCUUUGUGGUCAAGCAGCACCAGGCUUGGUUACCAGUACACACUGCCGUGACGCAGAAAAGCUCACAGGAACAUCCUGCAGGGAAGAGCCGGAAGUCUCACGGUGGCAGAUCCUGUGAAUAUGGAUGAGGACACAGUGGCAUGUUUACAUGAGCUGCCUUUCCUUUGGAAGACACUUGGCAACAUCAUGUACCAUAUUUUUGAUCAUACCUCAUAAAGACAUGCAGGAAAGAGGACUUCCAGAAGAGAUUUAGAAAGUGGCAGAAGGAUAGGCUAAGGAGGGAGGAGGAUUAUGAGGGGGACUCAUGGAAAUGUGUCUUUUUCUGUAAUAAUUGAAAACAACUGUAACAUUCAUUGCCUAGUUCAGUCACACCUCAUGUGCUGUUUUCUCCUCCGCACUGACUUUCACAUCCCCAUGCCCACUGUUCCUUCACCUUCAAGGACUCAGGGAGGCUCCUGGGCAGGGAUUUAUACAGGGUCAGGUCUGGGAAUCAUGCAGCAGCAGCAUUUGGUAGAAUGGUUUAGUCUUGAGCCCUUCAAGAGGAAACUCUGAAAACAAGACGUAAACGAGACAUUUAUGGAACCAAAGGAAUUAAAAGUGCACCUCCUACACAUCCAUUCAGGUAAUACUCAUGAGGUCUGGACUGUUGGACUCAUUUUCCUUUGGAGACACCAAAGCUCAGAGUCCAAGUAACUUCCCUGAGUUCUACCAGAAAGAGAGGUGAAGUCAGGCUUUGGAACCACAUAGGAUUGACUGCAAAUGCCAUGCCUUCCCCCUUGGUGGAAGGAAUGAUGAAUAUUAAGAGUGUAAGCCAAGAAAUCAUAAGAUAAAAGCAAAGUGGAAGGAAUAUAGACUUGGGAUUUUCAAACAAGAAGUAGAUCAUGACUUGAUAUUCUUUGGGGUAGAUAAGCAGGGUCAGAGAAAGUUCAGCAUGCAUCAGGGUGUUUGUAAAUUUUGUGAUUGCACUGCUAUAUCCUGGUCAAGAAGCAAAACAAACAAUCUAGUUUCCCCAAGCUUGCAAAGUAUUGCUAGGUCGCAGAAAAUCUCUCUAACAGGUUCCAUUCCUGCUAUGAUGUCUAUGUGGCAGUUUACCCCGUCAAUAAAUUCUGUAAGGACCAGAAAAGGAUUUUUGCUCUUUUUGACCAUUCUGCAGGCUUUUGAUUUUUAUGUUGUCAAGACUUCUCGGAGGUUCUCAAAUGCCAGUAGUAAAAUCCUCCCCCAUAACUCUUUCCUAUGUUUUGGUCAGCCCAUACCCAAGAAGAUGUCUUGCAUUGGGAAUAGAGGAUAUCAUCUCCCAGAAGACAUAUGUGGAUGGAAAACUUAAGACAAAGAAUUUGCAGACAUUUUCACAAAAGGCCAUCUAGCAAAUAUUUUAGGGCUAUGGCUAUUUUGGAAGUUGUUCCAGUUUCAUUACAAUAAUUGAAAAAUAAGGAAAAGUUCUGAAACAUAGCUGUAAAAUUCAGUUGAAAUGACUUAGGAAAUGUACCAGAAAUUUAACAACAACUUGGAGGAGGCCCUUUGCAUACGUGACAUGGCUUAAAACUCAAGCUGGGCUUAAAUUUUCACUCUCCUGCUUACUUUGUGGAGUUGCUUAACCAAUCAGAACUCAAAAUGCUUUCUCAGCAGUAAAAUGGAAAUUAGAAUGCGUGGAUUCCAAUUAGAAUGAAUUAUCAGAGCUAGAGAAUUAAGCAAUGUAAUGCAUAUCAGAUGCUUAGCACUAUACCUGGCAUAAAGAAAGUACAGCACUUAACAUGCUAGUUUUCUGUAUUGAUUUAGUAUUGAUCAAUUUGUCAUUUAUGAAUGUAGUGACUGUAGCCAAUGAUGUAAAAAAAUAAUUAAAAACAUGAAUAUAGCAAGUUAAUUAAUAUAAGAGAAAGAAGCCAUGGAUCAGAUAAUUGAAAGACAUUAACAAAUUAACAGGGAUGUUUAGAAAUUUUUUAUCAACAGAGGUGAAAUUGUUAAUAAAUGUUUGCUAAUUGAUGGGGAAAAUGAAAGCAUUUUGUCUCUUUUGGGAUCAUAGGGCUUUUACAAUGACACUGUAUCCUAUAACUUGAUGAAGUUAUCUUUAUUUUUUAAAUUAUAAAUAUGAAUACAUUACUUGCACCAAUUAAUGGGCUUCACUAGACCUUUCCAUACAUGGAUGUGUCCUGUAGUAAUUGUAUCCACCCUCCCUACCACCCUUUCUCGCCCUCCCUUCUUCUGUUUCCUUCUCCUGGCUCCUUUUCUUUUUCUUAGUAGUCUCUGCGCUCCUUUCAGGUUCCCUCCCUGCCUUCCUUCCUUCCUUGCCUCCUUCCUUUGUUCGUUGCUACACAGCACAUAGGAGAAUGGUGCUUGGCUUUCUGAGUCUGGCUGAUUUUGUUUAACAUGAUGAUCCAGUUCCAUCCAUUUUCCUGCAAGUGGCGUGAUUUUACUUGAG